UAAGUAAGCGGAGGAUAAGAAACUAAAUAGGAUUCCCUCAGUAAUGGCGAAUGAACAGGGAAAAGCUCAGCAUGGAAAUUGGGGCCUCUGGCCUUGAAUUGUAGUCUUGAGAUGGCAUUGCCAGUGGAGGCGCAGAUGUAAGCCUAUUGGAAAAUAGCAUCAAUGAGGGUGAGAGUCCCGUUUGUCAUCUGCAGUCCCCCAUGCACGGUGUGCUUUCUAAGAGUCACGUUCCUUGGGAUUGGAGCGCAAAUUGGGUGGUAAAUUUCAUCUAAAGCUAAAUAUUGGUUCG
This 289-nucleotide ribosomal RNA is filed under the name Karlodinium gentienii. RNAcentral's name for it is "partial 28S ribosomal RNA". It matches the Rfam family "Eukaryotic large subunit ribosomal RNA", at positions 43 to 330 of the family's 3401-position model. The record is from RNAcentral. Lineage: Eukaryota; Dinophyceae; Gymnodiniales; Kareniaceae.